This 612-nucleotide ribosomal RNA is filed under the name uncultured bacterium. RNAcentral describes it as "bacterial SSU rRNA". It matches the Rfam family "Bacterial small subunit ribosomal RNA", at positions 27 to 647 of the family's 1533-position model. The record is from RNAcentral.
GGAUGAACGCUAGCGGCAGGCCUAAUACAUGCAAGUCGAACGGUGAUAGCAAUAUCAUAGUGGCGCACGGGUGCGUAACACGUAUGCAACCUACCUAUUAUUGGGGGAUAGCCUUUGGAAACGGAGAUUAAUACCGCAUAAUACGAUUGACUGGCAUCGGUUGAUUGUUAAAGCUUAGGCGAUAAUAGAUGGGCAUGCGUCCAAUUAGUUAGUUGGUUAGGUAAUGGCUGACCAAGACGAUGAUUGGUAGGGGAUCUGAGAGGAUAAUCCCCCACACUGGCACUGAGAUACGGGCCAGACUCCUACGGGAGGCAGCAGUAGGGAAUAUUGGGCAAUGGGCGGAAGCCUGACCCAGCCAUGCCGCGUGCAGGAAGAAGGCGUUAUGCGUUGUAAACUGCUUUUUUAUAGGAAGAAGGAUCCCUUGCGAGGGAAGGUGACGGUACUAUAAGAAUAAGCACCGGUUAACUCCGUGCCAGCAGCCGCGGUAAUACGGAGGGUGCAAGCGUUGUCCGGAUUUAUUGGGUUUAAAGGGUGCGUAGGCGGUUUAUUAAGUCAGUGGUGAAAGACGGUCGCUCAACGAUUGCAGUGCCAUUGAUACUGGUAGACUUGAGU